GACGAACGCUGGCGGCGUGCUUAACACAUGCAAGUCGAACGGAAAGGCCCUGCUUUUGUGGGGUGCUCGAGUGGCGAACGGGUGAGUAACACGUGAGUAACCUGCCCUUGACUUUGGGAUAACUUCAGGAAACUGGGGCUAAUACCGGAUAGGAGCUCCUGCUGCAUGGUGGGGGUUGGAAAGUUUCGGCGGUUGGGGAUGGACUCGCGGCUUAUCAGCUUGUUGGUGGGGUAGUGGCUUACCAAGGCUUUGACGGGUAGCCGGCCUGAGAGGGUGACCGGCCUCAUUGGGACUGAGAUACGGCCCAGACUCGUACGGGAGGCAGCAGUGGAGAAUAUUGCACAAUGGGCGGAAGCCUGAUGCAGCAACGCCGCGUGCGGGAUGACGGCCUUCGGGUUGUAAACCGCUUUCGCCUGUGACGAAGCGUGAGUGACGGUAAUGGGUAAAGAAGCACCGGCUAACUACGUG
RNAcentral lists this ribosomal RNA (468 nucleotides) under uncultured bacterium. Its description in RNAcentral is "partial 16S ribosomal RNA". It matches the Rfam family "Bacterial small subunit ribosomal RNA", at positions 28 to 507 of the family's 1533-position model. The record is from RNAcentral.